GGUCCCUUGGCCCAGUUGGUUAAGGCGUGGUGCUAAUAAUUUAAUUUGUUACGCCAAGAUCAGCAGUUCGAUCCUGCUAGGGACCA
RNAcentral lists this transfer RNA (86 nucleotides) under Candida albicans. It matches the Rfam family "tRNA". From Rfam's summary of the family: Transfer RNA (tRNA) molecules are approximately 80 nucleotides in length. Their secondary structure includes four short double-helical elements and three loops (D, anti-codon, and T loops). Further hydrogen bonds mediate the characteristic L-shaped molecular structure. tRNAs have two regions of fundamental functional importance: the anti-codon, which is responsible for specific mRNA codon recognition, and the 3' end, to which the tRNAs corresponding amino acid is attached (by aminoacyl-tRNA synthetases). tRNAs cope with the degeneracy of the genetic code in two manners: having more than one tRNA (with a specific anti-codon) for a particular amino acid; and 'wobble' base-pairing, i.e. permitting non-standard base-pairing at the 3rd anti-codon position. The record is from Rfam by way of RNAcentral. Lineage: Eukaryota; Fungi; Ascomycota; Pichiomycetes; Serinales; Debaryomycetaceae.